Molecule: small RNA, 251 nt
Filed under: Prolemur simus (greater bamboo lemur)
Lineage: Eukaryota; Metazoa; Chordata; Mammalia; Primates; Lemuridae
Description: 7SK RNA (ENSPSMG00000015127.1)
Source: RNAcentral
GGAAUGGCAGAGGCAGGGGGACAUCUGCACAGCACCUGUGGAUUCAGCCUACCUGGUUGGCUUGGUGUCCCCUUCUUCUCUCAAACUUCCUCAUGUCCUCGAAGCUGCACGCUCAAAGAAGAUGACCUUCCCAGCAAAAGGACGAUUCUUCUGGCAAGCAUAUCUUCCCAAGUUUGCUGUGAAAAUCUAAUAAGAUAAUGGAUAUAAAAAUGCUUUAAAAACUGAAAGCACUACACAAGUGUAAGUUAUUA